This 69-nucleotide transfer RNA is filed under the name Atergatis floridus. RNAcentral's name for it is "tRNA-Trp". Lineage: Eukaryota; Metazoa; Arthropoda; Malacostraca; Decapoda; Xanthidae. The record is from RNAcentral.
AAGAUUUUAAGUUAUUUAUAAACUAAAAGCCUUCAAAGCUUAAAAAAAAAGUUAACCUUUUAGAUCUUA